UCUCGGCCUGGGGAGGCCUUGGCAGGGCCCAUUAUCAACAGCAGUAUUGAUAAUCCUCACUCUGUGUAGGUCUAGGAAAUGUAUGUUUAUGUCUUAGUUUUUAACAAAGUUCAAAAAGUAAAAAAAUAAGAGAUAUAAAAUAGCAUGUAGAAUAAGGAUAUGAAGAGAGAAAAUAUUUUUGUACAGCUGUAUAAUGUGUGUUUUUAGCUAAGCAUUAUUACAGGAGUCAAAAGUUUAAAAUUUUUUUUAAGUUUAUAAAGUUAUAGUAAGCUAGGGUUAAUGUUUUAUUACAUAAAAUCUUUUUCAUAAAUUUAAUGUAGCCUAAAUGUACAGCAUUUAUCAAGUCUGUACUAGAGUAGUGUACAGUAAUGCCCUGGGUCUUCACAUUCACUCACCACUCACUGACUUACCCAGAGCAACUUCCAGUCCUGCGAGCUCCAUUUACUCUAAGUGCCCGAUACAGGUGUACCGUUUUUAUGUUCAAUACCACAUUUUUACAGCACUUUUUCUUCGUUUAGAUAUAUUUAUAUACACAAAUACUCACCAUUGUGUUCCAUGUGCCUGCAGUAUUCAGUGGGGUCACAUGCUGUACAGGUUUGCAGCCUUGAAGCCAUAGGUCAUACCACACAGCCUGUGUGUGUAGUAGGCUGUAGCACCUGUUUUUGUGCAAGUGCAUUCUGUGGUAUCCCCACAAGGACUGAAUUGCCUAAUAAAGCAUUUUUCAGAAUGUACCCAUUGUUAAACAUAUGACCAUAGACAUAUGACCAUACUUCUAAGAUGUUGUCCACCAGCACCCAAGGUUUGUGUUGAGUGUUGGUCAUGCGCACAUCCUCUGCUAGCAGAUACCAAAAUUCCAGAGUCCCAGAAGGAAAGCAGGCUCAGCAUACACCACCUUGUUUGUACACCUUGUGUGCAUAGUGAGCUGCUCUUACAUGUCCUGGGAAUGCUGGGAGCCCUCCUGAAAUGGACAGUCUCAGAUGCCAGCUGAGGCCAGCCAUGGAAGCAGCCCUUUCUGAGCAUGGCAGUCUCAGGCUUACUUUGUUCACUGCUUGCUGCAUACUGUGCUGUUUUGUUCUUUCUCUUCUGCUUCUACAUUUUUAGGUAGAUGAUCAGCAUCAUUUCCCGGGUUGCAAAGGCCUCCUUUUAGAGGGCAGAGGGGGUUGUUACUGAUGGCAGAUGCUAAAUAAGCAUGUGUUCGUGUGUGCAUGCAUGUCACUCAGUAACAUUUGAGAAUCAACAUGGCUAAUCCUUGCCGUGUAGAAAUGAGAGGCUGGGGCCUUCCAGUGUUCAAAGAGAAGCCAGAAACCCAGACUUAUUUUUUAAUGUUUCCUGUUGUUAGCUGGGGUUUUUAAAAGAAUCUCCAAGUAAAACAAAACCUGUCUGAGCUACCCCAGCCUGUGGACAGCCAGCUUUGCUUCAGGUGGGAGGGAGUCAUCACGGUCUUUAGACAGAUAUUCUGUUAGUUCCCUAGGGCUUCCAGAACAAUGUGCGACACACUGGGUGCCUUCAACACCAGAACUUCAUUGUCUCCCAGUUCUGGAGGCCACAAGUCUGAAAUCAGGGCAUUGGCUAGGUUGGUUCCAAGGCCAUGAGGGAAGGUUCUGCUCCAGCCUCUCUCUGUGGUGUGUGGGUGCCCAGCCUCAUGCUCACGUGGCGUUCUCCUGUGUGCAUGUCUUGUCUCCAAGUUUCCCCUUCAUGUAAGGGACCCAGUCGUAUUAUAUUAGGUCCUGCCCUAAUGACCUCCUUCAACUCCACUAUUUCUGUAAGGUCUUGUCUCCAAAUACGACCCAUUCUGAGGCACUGGGGGUUAGGACUUCAACAUAUGCAUUUUGGAAGAGAGGACACAGUGUCACCCAUAUCCACGGGAUACCCACAGAAUCAUGCAUGCAUUUUAUUAAGAUCUCUCCAGGGAUACCAGUAAGGAGGUUUUGGCUGUAGUUUAGGUUAAAGAUUAUACUUUAUAUUAAUUUAUUAACCUACAUUCAUAAUAGGAGUGUAUCGUUCAGGCUAUUGGAAAAUCCUACAGCAUCAGUUACAAAAAGAAUCCAGAUGUGAAACUGGCAGAAAUUUUAUAAACAAAAUAAUAAUUAUUACUUUAAAAUAAUUUUUCUUGGCCACAAAAGUGGUAAUUUUUAGAGCAUUGCUGAAUACAGGGAGUUUGGGUAGCUACCCCAAUUCCCCCAGAAUAGUGUGGUUAUGAGACAGCACUCUGGAAUCAGAAUAUAGCUCAGAGUGGAGUGAAGCUGCCGACUCCACGAAGUCUUGGCCCGUAUGGUCUCGACCUCAGCCUUGUUGAAACAUGCUCUAAUCAUCCAAACCAAACAGCUGAAAGGCAGCAGGAUUAAAACCCAGAAGGAAAUUAUAUCUGGUACAGACUCAGACGAUUAACUGGCCUAGUAUUACUCUUUAAAAUUGGAUGGGAGUAAUUCCAGCGUCAUUGGGAUCUCGUUUGCACCUGUCCCCGAUUCUGUGAGUUUGUUUCAUCCCUCCAAAUGCCUCUGAACAGCAUUGUGAUGUGCUGCCAGCUGAUGCCUCUGUAGCUCCGUAGCUGCUCAUUGAUCUGUGGUUUCGAGAGAGACUUCUCAGGAUAGUCAUUCUCGUGAAUUAAAUCUGAAAACUUAAUUGAGCAAGAGUGACCUAUUAGCAAUGGUCGUGGGAUAUUGUUUAGAAAAACCAACUGUGUAUUAUUUUACUUGGCAGAGAGUUAAAAUAUCCACGUGGGAGUUUACAAAAGAAGUUGCAGCUGACCCUUGACUAUAGUUUUAUUGGCAAGUUUUGCUAAAUUACGUACUUUUAAGUCGAGCUUACGGUGAAUGCCUUAUCUCCCAAUGGAACAACUGCUUUCCCUGUUACAGGAUGUAUCUUAUUGUCUGAUUCCUUCAGUUGGCCGUAGUGGAAUAUAUCAUUACCUGGUUCAUGACUGUUUGGUUUUUUCCCCAGACAUUAAGUAUUACCUUAAAUAUUACCUAAUAUGAGUUACCAGUAUUCAUCAACUAAGGUAAGUUACCAAGUCAGAAGAAAACGUAGUCAGCUUUAGUACCGCGCCACUGAGCACCGACCUCUGUGGAGAGCGUGGGAGAUUGAGCAGCUCAGGUCUGUACAGGAGUGGAGUGUCCCGGAUCUCCUUCACAGUCUUCUUUUUCUGCUGCUUUAAUGAUCUGGAGGUUUACUUACUUCUAGUCCCUGUUUGCUGCUCCCAGCACGGUGGUGUUGGAGAGUGAGAGGAGUUUGUCAUCAGCCUUUGUAAAGUGUGCAGCCUGGGGCUCUGAGGUCAGCGCCCGCUAGAAUUCCACUGAGCCUCACCUAGAUCUUUACCUGGAGAGUUACAGUGUUCACACAGGGGAAAAUUAAGAUCUAAAACAUUGCUUUUCUUUCUCUUCAAACUUAAUAUAAUAAAUCCUAUUAAAGAUGAAAAUCUCCAAAAAUUGAUAAGGUUAUUGAGUUCUAUUGAGUGACCUACUUUUGUCCAAUGGUGUGGCAACUAUCACUGCGGUUAUUCUUCAGCGAAGAGCACUUGGAACCCCCCAGUGGCCCUUCCAGUGUGGUUAGAGUGCUGUGCUUCAUGACCCCUGUGCCUUACGUGAAGGUCGCGCCGGCUUCCUGUGUGCCCGUAGUAGAGCAGACUCUGCCUGGGGCUGCCGCCUCUGAACUCUGUUGUUCACUACGGCACCUGUCUCACAAGCCAAGGACUCAGUUUCCCUUAAUUCACUACACCUUUGUCGACGCGAUGCAGUUCUCUUUCCUGAAUGCCGUUAUUUGUGGUCGUUUUACUAGAGGAAUCUCCUGUGUGUAGUCCCACCGACUUCCAUUGUGCUGGAAAUCUGCCCUUCUCACAGCUCUUUCGGAAGCCUGCCGGAGCCCUGCAUGGAUGUGGCCCCUUGUCGACCCUGCAGGACCGUGCGUCCAUUAAGCAUUCAGGGAGCAUGCUCUGCCGGCCCCUGUGCUAGAUGCCAGGCACACUGGGGAUGAGAUGAGGGCCUCAGCCAGGCUUCCUAGGGGGGACACAGGGAGAAGGCUCUUGCACGGCACUGAGAUAAAUGCAGCUCAGGGAGCAAGGCGAGGGUCACCCCAGCCAAUUUGGGAAGGUCAAGGUGGACUUUCUCUAUAAUGGUUUUCCAUUUUAUUAUCAGUGCACGUAGAACGUCUUAUCACAGUUUAUUGGCUAUUUUGCCUUUGGGAUUUGAAACAUGUUACUCCACCUGAGCCAAGAACAACUCCAGGGUUAGAGGCGUAGAACCCUGCACAGUUGAAAAUCUGUGUAUAACUUUUGACCCUACAAAACUUAACUAAUAGAUUGCUGUUGACUGAAAGCCUUACCUAUAACAUAAAGAUUAGAUUACGAUCUAUUUUGCAUGUUGUAUGUAUGCUGUGCUGUAUUAUUACAAUGAAGUAAGCUAGAGAAAAGAAAAUGUUAAAAUAAUAAGAACAAGAAAUACAUCUGCCAUUCAUUAAGUAUAAAUGGGUCAUCAUAAAAGUCAGUAUCCUGGUGGUUUUCACAUUGAGGAGUGGAAGAGGGGUUGGUCUUGCUGCCUCCGGGCCGUGGAGGUGGAAGAGCUGGAGAAGGCGGAAGGGAGGCCGGAGAGGCAGCUGAAUUCGGUGUCACCGUUACCGAAAAAAUCUGCCCAUUACUGGAUCCACACAGCUCAAACCUGUGUUGUUGAGGGGUCAGCCGUACUUGCUUUUUAGGAUUUUCACUUUGUCUUCUGUACAGUGCCCUGAUCCAUUCUAAGGAACAUCUGACAAGCCAUAAAAGUCCAAGUUUUUAAGACUUAAAACACUGUUGUUUCAUUCAUAAAAAACCAAAAACAGAACAAUAAUCUUUUUAAGGAAGAGAACCAUUAGUCAUGGAUGCUUUUGUUCAGCAAACAGCUAGGUGCCACCCCUUGCCUCUCAUCAUGGCAGAGCCACCAUGUCUCCGGAAGAGGCAAAGAAGAGUCUGACCUGCCCCUCCACACCCCACCGACUUAUUUGGCAAAAUAAGUCACCAGGAAGCUUUGGUUGCUUUGAGGGAGCAUUAGACCCUCUCACUUUGUCUGUGGUUUAGGGAUGAGGGGUGGGGGGCUCUGCAGAGGAGCUGGGCAGGCCGUGUGACCUUAUGCUGCAUGUGACCCUACACUGCUCAUGACCCUGCACAGCUCACUGACGGUCUUUUGAUCCUUAAUCUGCCCAGAGUUUUGCUUCCAUUAAGGAUUAUUCCUCCCCCUCUCUUUUCCACCCUCUCUGUCUUUGUCUCUCUGCCCUUACUCCCUCGCCCUUCUCUCCCUGGCUGCCUUCCCCCUGAAUCCCCCAUGGCUGCCUCCUCUCCUGCUCCUCCAUCUGUAUAGUCACUGCCUGAAGAGUCCUUGCUGCUCCAAUUUAAUUUUUUAUUAUGCAAGAGACCACUUCAUUUUCCUGCUCCUGUGCCCCGUAUGAUAUUGCAAGCCUAGUUUAGGCACUUGCAAACAGCUUUGCCUUAGAAGUUCUUUUCCAAACUAUUGCAAGAGCACCGCAUACCAGGUUUUACUCCCUCUCCUUUGCAGCCUCUUCAUCCUGUUUCCGGCCCUUAAAAUGGGGGGGGGGCUCCACUCUCAUGCCCAGCCCCUCCUUUUCUCCAUUCUUAUGCCUCCUCCAGGUCCUGUGUCCCUGGCUUUGCUUUGUGGGCCUGUCGCAGACUCUCAGACUGGCUCCCCAGUGCUGUCUUCUUGGACCUCCAGACCUGCGUGUUCACUGCUAUGUGGCAUCUUCUGGAACAUUUCAAGACAGCAUCCAAAGUCAGACCUGUGAUCUUUUACCAACCUCUUCCUCCCCAGGGUACCCUGGAGAGGAAGAAUAGCGCCUACCUAGCUGUGCAGGCGGGGAUCUGGGGGUCUUCCAGAGCAGCCCACCUUCCGUGGUUGUGGGGCCCCUUCACAGGCCUUGUGUAUUGGCGUCCUGAAAGAGACCUCUCCCAAUCAGUAUUAAUUACACUUUUUCUCAAGAACUUCUUAAAAGUUUAGCCUCCUCCUCACGAUACCCUGAUGAGAUAACAGGUGUGAAUUCUCCCUUUUAUUUAUUUAUUUUUAAAAACCUUUCCCAUUCCAUUUGGGAGUGUUGGUA
Sapajus apella (tufted capuchin) is the source of this 6075-nucleotide long non-coding RNA. RefSeq lists it as uncharacterized. The transcript is spliced from 2 exons. The record is from RefSeq and is a predicted model, not a curated record. Lineage: Eukaryota; Metazoa; Chordata; Mammalia; Primates; Cebidae.